RNAcentral lists this ribosomal RNA (392 nucleotides) under uncultured bacterium. RNAcentral's name for it is "partial 16S ribosomal RNA". It matches the Rfam family "Bacterial small subunit ribosomal RNA", at positions 523 to 918 of the family's 1533-position model. The record is from RNAcentral.
ACACGUAGGGGCCUGACGUCGUUCGGAAUCAUUGGGCGUAAAGGGCGCGCAGGCGGCCGUCCAAGUCCGGUGUUAAAUGGUCGGGCUCAACCCGAUCAUGCGCUGGAAACUGGGCGGCUGGAGUCCCGGAGGGGAUGCCGGAAUUCCAGGUGUAGGGGUGAAAUCUGUAGAUAUCUGGAAGAACACUGAUGGCGAAGGCAGGCAUCUGGCCGGAGACUGACGCUGAGGCGCGAAGGCGCGGGGAGCGAACAGGUUUAGAUACCCUGGUAGUCCGCGCAGUAAACGAUGCGCACCAGGUGUCGGGCGGCAGCGCCCGGUACCGGAGCAAACGCGAUGAGUGCGCCGCCUGGGGAGUAUGCCCGCAAGGGUGAAACUCAAAUGAAUUGACGGGG